RNAcentral lists this ribosomal RNA (425 nucleotides) under uncultured bacterium. RNAcentral's name for it is "bacterial SSU rRNA". It matches the Rfam family "Bacterial small subunit ribosomal RNA", at positions 355 to 773 of the family's 1533-position model. The record is from RNAcentral.
UGGGGAAUUGUUCACAAUGGGCGCAAGCCUGAUGACGCAACGCCGCGUGGAGGAUGAAGGUCUUCGGAUUGUAAACUCCUGUUGCCCGGGACGAAAAGCUUCGACCUAACACGUCGAAGUCUGACGGUACCGGGUGAGGAAGCCCCGGCUACCUCUGUGCCAGCAGCCGCGGUAAUACAGAGGGGGCAAGCGUUGUUCGGAAUUACUGGGCGUAAAGGGCGCGUAGGCGGCCUUCUAAGUCGAACGUGAAAUCCCCGGGCUCAACCCGGGAACUGCGUCCGAUACUGGAAGGCUCGAAUCCGGGAGAGGGAUGUGGAAUUCCAGGUGUAGCGGUGAAAUGCGUAGAUAUCUGGAGGAACACCGGUGGCGAAGGCGACAUCCUGGACCGGUAUUGACGCUGAGGCGCGAAAGCCAGGGGAGCAAAC